GAUGAACGCUGGCGGCGUGCCUAAUACAUGCAAGUCGAGCGAACAGACGAGGAGCUUGCUCCUCUGACGUUAGCGGCGGACGGGUGAGUAACACGUGGAUAACCUACCUAUAAUACUGGUAUAACUUCGGGAAACCGGAGCUAAUACCGUAUAAUAUAUUGAACCGCAUGGUUCAAUAGUGAGAUACGGUUUUGCUGUCACUUAUAGAUGGAUCCGCGCCGCAUUAGAUAGUUGGUAAGGUAACGGCUUACCAAGGCAACGAUGCGUAGCCGAACUGAGAGGGGGAUAGGCCACCCGGGAAGUGAGACACGGUCCAGAGUCCUAAGGGAGGCAGCAGUAGGGAAUCUUCCGCAAUGGGCGAAAGCAUGACGGAACAACGCCGAGUGAGUGAUGAAGGUCUUCGGAUCGUAAAACUCUGUUAUUAGGGAAGAACAAAUGUGUAAGUAAAUAUGCACGUCUUGACGGUAACUAAUAAGAAAGCCACGGCUAACUACGUG
RNAcentral lists this ribosomal RNA (497 nucleotides) under uncultured bacterium. RNAcentral's name for it is "partial 16S ribosomal RNA". It matches the Rfam family "Bacterial small subunit ribosomal RNA", at positions 28 to 507 of the family's 1533-position model. The record is from RNAcentral.